GUAGUUAGCCGGUGCUUUCUUGUACGGUACCGUCAUUAUCGUCCCGUACGACAGGAGUUUACAAUCCGAAAACCUUCUUCCUCCACGCGGCGUCGCUGCAUCAGGGUUUCCCCCAUUGUGCAAUAUCCCCCACUGCUGCCUCCCGUAGGAGUCUGGGCCGUGUCUCAGUUCCAGUGUGGCCGAUCAGCCUCUCAGCUCGGCUACCCAUCGCAGGCUUGGUGGGCCGUUACCUCACCAACUACCUAAUGGGACGCGAACCCCUCUUAAAGCGGAUUGCUCCUUUGACCUCAUCCCGAUGCCGGGUCGUGGUCUUAUGCGGUAUUAGCACUUGUUUCCAGGUGUUAUCCCCCUCUUUAAGGCAGGUUGUUCACGCGUUACUCACCCGUUCGCCACUCAGUACAAAACCGAAUUCUGUACUCCGUUCGACUUGCAUGUGUUAGGCACGCCGCCAGCGUUCGUCCUGAGCCAGAAUCGAACCCUGA
Molecule: ribosomal RNA, 482 nt
Filed under: uncultured bacterium
Lineage: Bacteria
Description: partial 16S ribosomal RNA
Source: RNAcentral